GGCUGGUCCAAAGGUAAUGCGUUAUCUCAAUUGAUUGUUCACAGUCAGUUACAGAUCGAACUCCUUGUUCUACUCUUUUCCCCUUCUAACUACUGCACUUGACUAGUCUUAA
This 112-nucleotide Y RNA is filed under the name Aotus nancymaae (Ma's night monkey). RNAcentral describes it as "Y RNA (ENSANAG00000000293.1)". It matches the Rfam family "Y RNA". Rfam says of the family: Y RNAs are components of the Ro ribonucleoprotein particle (Ro RNP), in association with Ro60 and La proteins. The Y RNAs and Ro60 and La proteins are well conserved, but the function of the Ro RNP is not known. In humans the RNA component can be one of four small RNAs -- hY1, hY3, hY4 and hY5. Lineage: Eukaryota; Metazoa; Chordata; Mammalia; Primates; Aotidae. The record is from Rfam by way of RNAcentral.